RNA transcript from Raphanus sativus (radish), 1009 nucleotides. It is a transcript of the gene named serrate RNA effector molecule-like, with no coding region annotated. Lineage: Eukaryota; Viridiplantae; Streptophyta; Magnoliopsida; Brassicales; Brassicaceae. The transcript is spliced from 7 exons. The record is from RefSeq and is a predicted model, not a curated record.
AAUAUAAAUUUCAGGUCCGUUUCCUCUUCUAGCGAUCUUCAUCACUACUAACAAUCAAACCUCCUCUUUACUCCCAUCUUUAAGGUCUUUUGUUUCACCCCUCUCUCUAUCUAUUUCUUAUAAUUAUCGCCAUGAAUCUCAAAGAAGCUUUACGCCUCUCCUCUCCACAAACGGCCAAAAAAUCAAACAAUCGCCGCGACCGCUCUCCCCUCCCACCGCCGUCCCGCAGGGAUUACAAGAGGCGGCCUAUCGGGAGUCCUCCGCCGCCGUACAGAGACAGGCGGCACUCUCCUCCCAUGCGCCGCUCCUCCUCCUCCUAUGAUGGUCGGCGUGGUGGUUAUGGACCUCCCGAUCGAAGGAAUGAUAGAUUUGGAUAUGAGAAUGACCGUGAGAUGGGAGGAAGGCAUGGUUACGGUGAUGAAAGGCCUCCUGGCCGCUUUAUGGGGCGGGGCGUUAUCAAGACUGGGAGGGAGGUCGUGGAAGUUAUGGUGAUGCCUCUAACAGAGGAAGUACUCAAAGAUAUCAAGAAUACAAGUCAGAGUAUAUCACAACACAGAAACGUGUCUAUUUUAACGCUCACAAAGAGGAAGAAUGGUUAAAAGAUAAGUAUCAUCUAACCAACUUGCUAACUGUCAUAGAAAAGAGGAAUGAACAUGCACGGAAGGUGGCGAAGGACUUCUUACUUGACUUACAGAGCGGGAAUCUUGAUUUGUCCUGCAGUGACAGCAUUGAAUAAAACAAGUGAGCCAAAGUCUGAGGAUGAAGCAGAUGCUGAGGAUUGAACUUCCUUCAGCAUCUUCUGUCUUGGCGUGUACUGAUCAUAUGUUUUUGAAAAAGUAUGUGUGUAAGUAUGAUGACAAGGUGUUUGUGGACGAGUUAAUGGCUAUCUUCACCAAAGAUGGUGACUCAUAGAUAGAAAGCUUUGUUUUCUCCUUCCCAUUAAUUUUAGAUUUGUCUAUGAAAUUUUGUUGUCAUUCAAACUGUCAGUAAUCUUAUCAAUUGAUAUCAA